This 269-nucleotide ribosomal RNA is filed under the name uncultured bacterium. RNAcentral's name for it is "partial small subunit ribosomal RNA". It matches the Rfam family "Bacterial small subunit ribosomal RNA", at positions 26 to 287 of the family's 1533-position model. The record is from RNAcentral.
AGGACGAACGCUGGCGGCGUGCCUAACACAUGCAAGUCGAACGAGGUCCAACCGGUGGCAACACUGGUGAAGACCUAGUGGCGAACGGGUGAGUAUCACGUGAGCAACCUGCCCCGAAGACUGGGAUAACACCGGGAAACCGGUGCUAAUACCGGAUACCCCCACCGGAUCGCAUGGUCUGGUGAGGAAAUGAAUUUUGCUUUGGGAGGGACUCGCGGCCUAUCAGCUUGUUGGUGGUGUAACGGACCACCAAGGCUUCGACGGGUAGC